UGAGUACGAGAUGCUACGGCAUCGAAGCAGUCUAUGUCAUACUUCCAAGAAAAGCUUGCAAUGUCAUAAACAAAUAAUGCCUGUACCAUAACCGACACAGGUGGGUAGGUAGAGUAUACUAAGGGGCGCGAGAUAACUCUCUCUAAGGAACUCGGCAAAAUGACUCCGUAACUUCGGGAGAAGGAGUGCCUUAUUUUUAUAAGGUUGCAAUAACAAGAUCCAAGCAACUGUUUACCAAAAACACAGGUCUCCGCUAAGUCGUAAGACGAUGUAUGGGGGCUGACGCCUGCCCAGUGCCAGAAGGUUAAAGAAGUUGGUUAGCAUUAGCGAAGCUGAUAACUGAAGCCCUGGUGAACGGCGGCCGUAACAAUAACGGUCCUAAGGUAGCGAAAUUCCUUGUCGGGUAAGUUCCGACCCGCACGAAAGGCGUAAUGAUUUGGAUACUGUCUCGGAGAGGGGCUCGGUGAAGUAGACUUGUCUGUGAAGAUGCGGACUACCUGCACCUGGACAGAAAGACCCUAUGAAGCUUUACUGUAACUUGAGAUUGAAAUUGGACUUUAUCUGCGCAGUAUAGGUGGGAGACGUUGAAAAUAUUCUUGCGGGAAUAUUGGAGUCAUCAGUGAGAUACCACUCUUAUAAUGUUAGAUUUCUAACUUUGUAUCAUUAUCUGGUCAAAGAACAGUUUCAGGCGGGCAGUUUGACUGGGGCGGUCGCCUCCCAAACGGUAACGGAGGCGCACAAAGGUUUCCUCUGAACGUGUAGAAAUCGUAUCUAGAGUGUAAAGGCAUAAGGAAGCUUGACUGUGAGACCUACAAGUCGAGCAGGGACGAAAGUCGGUCUUAGUGAUCUGACGGUGCUGAGUGGAAAGGCCGUCACUCAACGGAUAAAAGUUACUCUAGGAUAACAGGCUGAUCUCCCCCAAGAGUUCACAUCGACGGGGAGGUUUGGCACCUCGAUGUCGGCUCAUCGCAUCCUGGGGCGGUAGUACGUCCCAAGGGUUGGGCUGUUCGCCCAUGAAAGCGGUACGCGAGCUGGGUUCAGAACGUCGUGAGACAGUUCGGUCCAUAUCCGGUGUAGGCGUUAGAAUAUUGAGAGGAGCCUUCUUUAGUACGAGAGGACCGAGAAGGACAUACCUCUGGUGUACCAGUUAUCGUGCCAACGGUAAACGCUGGGUAGCCAUGUAUGGAGAGGAUAACCGCUGAAAGCAUCUAAGUGGGAAGCCCACCUCAAGAUAAG
Molecule: ribosomal RNA, 1236 nt
Filed under: metagenome
Description: bacterial LSU rRNA
Rfam family: Bacterial large subunit ribosomal RNA
Source: RNAcentral